Molecule: long non-coding RNA, 962 nt
Filed under: Marmota monax (woodchuck)
Lineage: Eukaryota; Metazoa; Chordata; Mammalia; Rodentia; Sciuridae
Source: RNAcentral
GGCAGGUCCAAGGUCCUAUGGAAAGCCAGCCACGGUGGCAAAGUCCCCUGUAAGUAGUUCUGAUCCCACCUACGGGGACAUGCUCACCAUGGCCCAAAGAUGACCCCGCCAACUGGCCAGGUCACAUCUGAGUUGUGCAUCCACCUCAUCCACGGGGACUUGGGGCCGUGGUGUUCCUGAGAGCGAGGACGUGGAUUCUGGGCAGGCAAGACUGUGCCUGCUCCUGCCGUCGUUUCAAGAAGAUGGGACAGGCCUGCCUUUGUCAUCUCUCUCCCCUCCCAGAGGCAUUGUCCUGGGGUUUUCCUCCCUCUGCACUUAGCCACAGGUGAUGGGAACAGUAGACAGGGAGGUAUUGGGUCCUAGGUGCCCUGUCCCCUCUUCCUCCUCCUCACCCAUGGUGACAUUUUAUUAAACGGCUGUCACCCCACCCUCAGUCCUGCACAGGUUGGAGAGCCUGAGAUCCAGGCUUCACCGUAAGAUGUUCAGAGGACUCGCUACGCACGGCUGCCCUAAAUAUGCACGGACUCCCAGGGCCUUCCCAGAGGCCCCUGGGAUGGCACAUGGCAGAAGCCACUCGAUUUCACCUGCACCAAAAAGGGGGAUGUAUCAACUGACGGAACAACAGGCUCCGGGGGGUGGGGUGCAGCUAGGAGUGUGACCUUAGACACCUUCGCGACAGCUGCCUGAAUCCCGCUGACUCCGUGCCCUGCCCCAGCUCAGCUGGGCUUGCCUCCACUGACUUCAUUCCUCGGCCAACUCCCUAGAAGGUGGCAAAGUGGCUGGUGACCCCAGACACACCUUUACCAUUUCCACCCAGCCUGCAGACACUGCUCCUGUCCCCCAGAGUCUCACUGGUGAGAGUCGGUCGGCGUGUUGGAUCCUGCACCAGUCAUUGCCACGGCGUGGGACAGGAGGACAGGGUCUCUCAUCUCCACCAGACCAGCCUGGGGCCAGGAGCAGCC